CAGGAUACAACAACGAUAUCCCAUACUCCUCGCACAGUUACUACAACUGCAACUUCAAUACUUAAGGUGUUAACAGGGGACCAAAUGUCCCAGAUUGAUGACAUCACGCUCUCAGGGAUCGAUUUUGGCCUACAAGGCUAUACAGGUACCCUCUUCACAUCUAGGCCUCGUUCUAAGCAAAAGAAUUCCUCGAAGAUGCCAAAACGUGGGAAGAAGGUAAUUGAACACAUUUCUAGUUGUACAAUUGUUUGAAAAUGUUGAAAUUGUCUUAGUUGGGAUUUGUAGAUUAAUUAGUGUUUUUUGUCUAUUUUACAUGUACAACGGUCAUUGAGCUAUGUGGAUUUGUUGAAUGCACCUGAUUCGCCUGUGGAUUGAGAGAGGGCAGAGGUAAUAGCGACAGUUUGUCCAUCGAUGGUGAGCCAUCCUUAGUCCAUUGGAGAAGCAUCUCAGGCACCGAUACAUCAUUGUUCUCUAUAUUAUAGAUUUUAAGUGUUUUUGAUGUAUUUAUGUUAGUACAUUGUAUUAAUUGUACAUUUAAUUUACAAUAGCCCCCUUCGCAAUUCAGGCAUAACGUGGAUCCUUUUAAGUUUGUCUUCAAGAAAUCUCCUAAGAGUGACAAGAAGAGGAGAGCAUUAGGUUCAUACAGUAAAUCAAAUGUCUCUUCUUCAAUUGCAUUAGGUGCAUUAUGUUCUUUUGGUAAA
Molecule: long non-coding RNA, 701 nt
Organism: Cryptomeria japonica (Japanese cedar)
Lineage: Eukaryota; Viridiplantae; Streptophyta; Pinopsida; Cupressales; Cupressaceae
Exons: 4
Source: RefSeq, a predicted model, not a curated record